RNAcentral lists this ribosomal RNA (409 nucleotides) under uncultured bacterium. Its description in RNAcentral is "bacterial SSU rRNA". It matches the Rfam family "Bacterial small subunit ribosomal RNA", at positions 29 to 486 of the family's 1533-position model. The record is from RNAcentral.
ACGAACGCUGGCGGCAGGCUUAACACAUGCAAGUCGAACGCCCCGCAAGGGGAGUGGCAGACGGGUGAGUAACACGUGGGAACGUACCCUAAGGUUCGGAAUAUUCUCGGGAAACUGAGAGCAAUACCGAAUGUGUCCGCAAGGAGAAAGAUUUAUCGCCUUAGGAUCGGCCCGCGUCAGAUUAGCUAGUUGGUGGGGUAAAAGCCUACCAAGGCGACGAUCUGUAGCUGGUCUGAGAGGACGACCAGCCACACUGGGACUGAGACACGGCCCAGACUCCUACGGGAGGCAGCAGUGGGGAAUCUUGGACAAUGGGCGCAAGCCUGAUCCAGCCAUGCCGCGUGGAUGAUGAAGGCCUUAGGGUUGUAAAAUCCUUUCGUUGGGGACGAUAAUGACGGUACCCAAAAAG